GUGAAUCAUCGAAUCUUUGAACGCAUAUGGCACCUUUUGGUUCUUACUAAAAGGUAUGCCUGUUUGAGAAUCAUUUUCUAUCAUUUUCCAUUCUUGGAUACAUUUGAUUGUUGGGAUAACUCUCAAUUGAAUGACCAAGAGUUGUGAUUGACAUGGACCUUCAUCACUGAUCGUCUUGAAUUCAUGCACGGGACUGUUCGUGGUAAUACAAAAGGAAAGAGGAUGUGCAUAACUCCCUCUGCUUUGUUUUGUGAUCGAUCAGUCCUGAUUCAUCUCUUAUUAUAUUAGUGAUCUCAAAUC
This 300-nucleotide unclassified non-coding RNA is filed under the name uncultured fungus. RNAcentral describes it as "sequence contains 5.8S rRNA gene, ITS2". The stretch from base 1 to 73 matches the Rfam family "5.8S ribosomal RNA", at positions 84 to 154 of the family's 154-position model. The record is from RNAcentral. Lineage: Eukaryota; Fungi.